RNAcentral lists this ribosomal RNA (497 nucleotides) under uncultured bacterium. RNAcentral's name for it is "partial 16S ribosomal RNA". It matches the Rfam family "Bacterial small subunit ribosomal RNA", at positions 28 to 507 of the family's 1533-position model. The record is from RNAcentral.
GAUGAACGCUGGCGGCGUGCCUAAUACAUGCAAGUCGAGCGAACGGACGAUAAUCUUGCUUCUCUGAUGUUAGCGGCGGACGUGUGAGUAACACGUGGAUACCCUACCUAUAAGACUGGGAUCACUUCGGGAAACCGUCGCUAAUCCCGGAUAAUCUUUUGCACCGCAUGGUUCAAUAGUGAAAGACGGUCUUGCUGUCACUUAUAGCUGGAUCCGCGCUGCAUUAGCUAGUUGGUAAGGUAACGGCUUACCAAGGCAACGAUGCAUAGCCGACCUGAGAGGGUGGUAGGCCACAUGGGAGCUGAGACACGGUCCAGACGCCUAAGGGAGGCAGCAGUAGGGAAUGUUACGCAAUGGGCGAAAGCAUGACGGAGCAACGCCGCGUGAGUGAUGAAGGUCUUGGGAGCGUAAAACUCUGUUAUUAGGGAAGAACAUAUGUGUAAGUAACUGUGCACAGCGUGACGGUACCUAAUCAGAAAGCCACGGCUAACUACGUG